Bombus huntii is the source of this 1097-nucleotide long non-coding RNA. RefSeq lists it as uncharacterized. The transcript is spliced from 3 exons. The record is from RefSeq and is a predicted model, not a curated record. NCBI's taxonomy places the organism in Eukaryota, Metazoa, Arthropoda, Insecta, Hymenoptera, Apidae.
GGUGAGACUGCAAACAGAAAAUAUCCAUAUAUACAUCAAGAUAGUAAUGCAAUUUCUAUUCUUGCAGCACCGACGUAAUACGCGGUACUCCGUAAUCGCUCGAGAUUCCAUAUAGUUGUUGAAAUCUCUACGCAUUUGGUAGAUAAAACGUUGCGAGAAAUCCUCUUGUCACAGUUAGGUCUUCCAAACCUGAUCGCUUGCAUUUUUCCCGCUACUUCAGCGUUGCAACGUUACUUUUAUUUCUGCCAACUUAGACACGACAUCGUCUGAACUGCCCAAUUCAGGACACGAUGGCUCCUCCCGGGGAUUCUGUUGAGACGAUCCCGGAUUUUCCGUGUCCUCACCAUUGUAGAGCUCAUAAUUUGUAUAAUUUACCUUCUUCUUCAAGCAUUGUUUUUUAAAUUUCUGCCAUUUUGAAGCUGCUGAUAAUCGCCGGAUGCGUAAAUCAUUUUUAGCUUUGGAAAGAGCGCACGUCAGCAUUGCUUCAAUCCGUAAAUCGCGUCUGCGCUUUCGGCGACACUUUGAUCUUUUGCGGCGAACUUCGUCAAUCCAAGUUAGUAACCGUUCAGUUUCUGGCUUGUCGGCGUUAGUUUUCGAAAGUCCCUUCUUUGUCCUCGCCAUGCUUUCUCAAUUAUUUCACCUAAUUAUUGAGUAAGUAAAAAGUAUACCAACCUGUAUCCGGCUCCUGUUUGUUGUAGAACAAUACAGAAGAGAUUCACACAACUGCACACAAAGGAUUUGAAACCACCGAGCAAAACACCCUCCUCACAGCACAGUCGAAAUAAUCAAUAGCGUAUGAAGGUGUACUGCACGUAUUAUUUGGCACGUACAUUAAUGUUGAUGCAAGAAUAAUUAUUCCAAUGAUUUUAAGUUACACACAUAAUAGAUAAAGUAGGCUGUAGACUAUGAAAUUCGUAUGAAAUAAGCAGAGAAUAGUAACUAAAUAAAUGUAUAUGUAUAUCGAACAUAAAUCUUGUAAAAAUAAUAUAUUAAAUUACAUUCAAAUCAAAUAUAUAAACAAGAUCUGUUGACUUUUAAUUAUUUUUUUGAAGCACUAGUAUCAAAUAAAAUUGCGUCAUAUAAAAAUGUCAUCCCGA